CCUACGGGAGGCAGCAGUAGGGAAUCUUCCGCAAUGGACGCAAGUCUGACGGAGCAACGCCGCGUGAGUGACGAAGGUUUUCGGAUCGUAAAACUCUGUUGUGAGGGAAGAACACGUACCAACUAACUAUUGGUACCUUGACGGUACCUCACCAGAAAGCCACGGCUAACUACGUGCCAGCAGCCGCGGUAAUACGUAGGUGGCAAGCGUUGUCCGGAAUUAUUGGGCGUAAAGCGCGCGCAGGCGGUUCCUUAAGUCUGAUGUGAAAGCCCACGGCUCAACCGUGGAGGGUCAUUGGAAACUGGGGAACUUGAGUGCAGAAGAGGAAAGUGGAAUUCCACGUGUAGCGGUGAAAUGCGUAGAGAUGUGGAGGAACACCAGUGGCGAAGGCGACUUUCUGGUCUGUAACUGACGCUGAGGCGCGAAAGCGUGGGGAGCAAACAGGAUUAGAUACCCUGGUAGUCCACGCCGUAAACGAUGAGUGCUAAGUGUUAGGGGGUUUCCGCCCCUUAGUGCUGCAGCUAACGCAUUNAAGCACUCCGCCUGGGGAGUACGGCCNCAAGGNUUGAAACUCAAAUGAAUUGACGGG
RNAcentral lists this ribosomal RNA (589 nucleotides) under uncultured Planococcus sp. Its description in RNAcentral is "bacterial SSU rRNA". It matches the Rfam family "Bacterial small subunit ribosomal RNA", at positions 338 to 917 of the family's 1533-position model. Lineage: Bacteria; Bacillati; Bacillota; Bacilli; Caryophanales; Caryophanaceae. The record is from RNAcentral.